GGUAUGGUAGCUCAAUGGUGGAGCAUCAGGCCCUGGACCUGAACGGUUCAGGUUCAAUUCCUGCCCAUACUU
This 72-nucleotide transfer RNA is filed under the name Seminavis robusta. It matches the Rfam family "tRNA". From Rfam's summary of the family: Transfer RNA (tRNA) molecules are approximately 80 nucleotides in length. Lineage: Eukaryota; Bacillariophyta; Bacillariophyceae; Naviculales; Naviculaceae. The record is from Rfam by way of RNAcentral.